This 775-nucleotide ribosomal RNA is filed under the name uncultured Neocallimastigales. Its description in RNAcentral is "partial large subunit ribosomal RNA". It matches the Rfam family "Eukaryotic large subunit ribosomal RNA", at positions 26 to 629 of the family's 3401-position model. The record is from RNAcentral. Lineage: Eukaryota; Fungi; Neocallimastigomycota; Neocallimastigomycetes; Neocallimastigales.
CGCAUCUGUGCAUGCAGCAUAUCAAUAAGCGGAGGAAAAGAAACUAACAAGGAUUCCCUUAGUAACGGCGAGUGAAGCGGGAAGAGCCUCAAAUUUGAAAUCUUCAAGGUUUUACCUUGACGAACUUGUAGUUUAAAGAAGUGUUUUCUGUUGAAGUUUUGGUAAAAGUUCUUUGGAAUAGGACAUCAUAGAGGGUGAGAAUCCCGUAUUUGACCAUUAUUUUCAGCUGUGUGAUACACUUUCAAAGAGUCGGAUUGUUUGGGAAUGCAGUCCAAAAUGGGUGGUAAAUUUCAUCUAAAGCUAAAUAUUGGCGAGAGACCGAUAGCGAACAAGUACCGUGAGGGAAAGAUGAAAAGAACUUUGAAAGAGAGUUAAACAGUACGUGAAAUUGUCAAAAGGGAAGCGUUUGACACCAGUGUUGUUUUCUCGAAGAUCAAUUAAAAAGAGUUAGAUUUUGUUGUGUAUUGACCUUAACAGCUUGCAUUUCAAUUUUCUUGCUUUUUUUAAUGCACUUUUCGUUUAACAAGUCAACAUCAGUUUCUUUUGUUGUAAAAAGGUCAUUGGAAGGUGGCUUUCUUUUCGGAGAAAGUGUUUAUAGCCUUAGACUCCUGCAAUCGGAGAGACUGAGGUCUGCAGCGUAGAUCCUUCGGGGUUAGAUACAUUUGUGCUAAGUUAUAGCUUUUUAUAGACAACUUGUUGACUAUGAUUAGUCUUGUAGCUUACUCGCUUAUGCUAUUUUACCUACGCUUAGGAUGUUGAUGUGAUACUGCGAGCA